UACGUAGGGGGCAAGCGUUGUCCGGAUUUAUUGGGCGUAAAGAGCGUGUAGGCGGCCAGGUAGGUCUGCUGUGAAAACUCGAGGCUCAACCUCGAGACGUCGGCGGAAACCAUCUGGCUAGAGUCCGGAAGAGGAGAGUGGAAUUCCUGGUGUAGCGGUGAAAUGCGCAGAUAUCAGGAAGAACACCAACGGCGAAGGCAGCUCGCUGGGACGGAACUGACGCUGAGGCGCGAAAGCGUGGGGAGCGAACAGG
RNAcentral lists this ribosomal RNA (253 nucleotides) under uncultured bacterium. RNAcentral's name for it is "partial 16S ribosomal RNA". It matches the Rfam family "Bacterial small subunit ribosomal RNA", at positions 524 to 776 of the family's 1533-position model. The record is from RNAcentral.